AUACGGAGGAUGCGAGCGUUAUCCGGAUUUAUUGGGUUUAAAGGGAGCGCAGGCGGAGAUGCAAGCGUGACGUCAAAUUUCGGGGCUCAACCCCGUCUCGCGUCGCGAACUGCGUCCCUUGGUUGCGGGAAGGGGAGGCGGAACUCGGGGUGUAGCGGGGAAAUGCAUAGAUAUCACGAAGAACUCCGAUCGCGAAGGCAGCCUUCCGGCCCGUCAACGACGCUCAUGCUCGAAGGUGCGGGUAUCAAACAGGAUUAGAUACCCUGGUAGUCCGCACAGUAAACGAUGGACACCCGCGGUUUGGCCUGUAUGGCUGAGCCGCCAAGCGAAAGCGUUAAGUGUCCCACCUGGGGAGUACGCCGGCAACGGUGAAACUCAAAGGAAUUGACGGGG
This 393-nucleotide ribosomal RNA is filed under the name uncultured bacterium. Its description in RNAcentral is "partial 16S ribosomal RNA". It matches the Rfam family "Bacterial small subunit ribosomal RNA", at positions 523 to 918 of the family's 1533-position model. The record is from RNAcentral.